Molecule: ribosomal RNA, 293 nt
Filed under: uncultured bacterium
Lineage: Bacteria
Description: partial 16S ribosomal RNA
Source: RNAcentral
GGACUACCAGGGUUUCUAAUCCUGUUUGCUACCCACGCUUUCGCCUCUCAGCGUCAGUACUGGCCCAGAGUGCCGCCUUCGCCACCGGUGUUCCUCCUGAUAUCUAUGCAUUUCACCGCUACACCAGGAAUUCCGCACUCCCCUACCAGACUCAAGCCAUAACAGUAUCGGGUGGCGUCUCCGGGUUGAGCCCGGAGUUUUCACACCCGACUUAUCAAGCCGCCUACAGGCCCUUUACGCCCAAUAAAUCCGGACAACGCUCGGACCCUACGUGUUACCGCGGCUGCUGGCAC